AGAGUUUGAUCCUGGCUCAGAUUGAACGCUGGCGGCAUGGCUAAAACAUGCAAGUCGAACGAGAACCCCGCAAGGGGGGACAGUGGCGGAAGGGUUAGUAAUACCAUCGAACGUACCCCGAGGUGAGGGAUAGGCAUGGGAAACUGUGCGUAAUACCUCAUAAUCUCCAAGGAGCAAAGAUUUAUCGCCUUGGGAGCGGCGAUGGGCCUAUCAGGUAGUUGGCGGGGUAAAGGCCCACCAAGCCUAAGACGGGUAGCGGGUGUGAGAGCACGGCCCGCAACAUCGGGACUGAGACACUGCCCGGACUCCUACGGGAGGCUGCAGUAACGAAUAUUCCGCAAUGCGCGAAAGCGUGACGGAGCAAUGCCGCGUGCAGGAUGAAGCAGCUUCGCUGUGUAAACUGCUGUCAGGGGCUACUAACUAUGAAGAGCCUCAGAGGAAGGACCGGCUAAACUCGUGCCAGCAGCCGCGGUAAUACGAGUGGUCCAAGCGUUAGUCGGAAUCACUGGGCUUAAAGGGUGCGUAGGCGGACCAGAAAGCGUCUUGUGAAAUCCCCCGGCUCAACCGGGGAACUGCAGGGCGAACUGCUGGUCUUGAGGAAGGUAGAGGCCGGCAGAACGAUCGGUGGAGCGGUGGAAUGCGUAGAGAUCGAUCGGAAUGCCAAAGGUGAAGACAGCCGGCUGGGCCUUUCCUGACGCUGAGGCACGAAAGCGUGGGGAGCAAACAGGAUUAGAUACCCUGGUAGUCCACGCCCCAAACGAUGCGCACUAGACUGGUGCGGCUCUCACGCCGUAUCGGUCGUAGAGAAAUUGCUAAGUGCGCCGCCUGGGGAGUACGGUCGCAAGGCUAAAACUCAAAGGAAUUGACGG
This 869-nucleotide ribosomal RNA is filed under the name uncultured bacterium. Its description in RNAcentral is "bacterial SSU rRNA". It matches the Rfam family "Bacterial small subunit ribosomal RNA", at positions 8 to 916 of the family's 1533-position model. The record is from RNAcentral.